UACGGAGGGUGCAAGCGUUAUCCGGAUUCACUGGGUUUAAAGGGUGUGUAGGCGGGCUAUUAAGUCAGUGGUGAAAUCUCCGGGCUCAACCCGGAAACUGCCAUUGAUACUAUUAGUCUUGAAUAUCGUUGAGGUAGGCGGAAUAUAUCAUGUAGCGGUGAAAUGCAUAGAUAUUAUAUAGAACACCGAUUGCGAAGGCAGCUUACUAAACGAUAAUUGACGCUGAGGCACGAAAGCGUGGGGAUCAAACAGG
Molecule: ribosomal RNA, 253 nt
Filed under: uncultured bacterium
Lineage: Bacteria
Description: partial 16S ribosomal RNA
Rfam family: Bacterial small subunit ribosomal RNA
Source: RNAcentral